This is a long non-coding RNA of Solanum tuberosum (potato), 1064 nucleotides long. RefSeq lists it as uncharacterized. The transcript is spliced from 2 exons. NCBI's taxonomy places the organism in Eukaryota, Viridiplantae, Streptophyta, Magnoliopsida, Solanales, Solanaceae. The record is from RefSeq and is a predicted model, not a curated record.
ACGUAAAACCCACUAAACAUGUUUCUUUCUCUCUUUAUUUUCUUCAUUUUAGGGUUUCUUACCCAUUCCUUUAAACUUCAUCUCAAAUUUAGAAACUUCACCCCAAUCUAUGGCCCUUCCUCUUACCCAAUCCUCAGAUGCCUUAUUUCCUUCUAUAAAAAUCGACAUCGACUAUUGGACUGGUACACUCAACUUUUAUCUGAAUCCCCAACACAAACCAUUCUAGUUCAGCGAUUCGGCGCUCCUCAGACCAUAAUCACAGCUAAUCCGGAUAACGUUGAGUACAUUCUCAAAACGAAUUUUAUUAAUUAUCCAAAGGGGAAGUCGUUUACGGAUAUUCUAGGCGAUUUUCUAGGGCGUGGGAUAUUCAACGUGGACGGGGAGCUGUGGAGUGCCCAGCGUAAAUUGGCUGGCCAUGAAUUCAGCACAAAUUCAUUGAGGGAGUUUGUCGUCAAAACUCUAGAAGAAGUAGUCGAAACCAGGCUUGUUCCGUUGUUAAUUCAGGCAGCUAAAUCUGGCAAAGUGUUGGACUUGCAAGACGUGCUUAGGCGUUUCGCCUUUGAUACAAUUUGCAAGGUGUCCCUUGGUACUGACCUGCACUGUUUGGAUGAUUUUUAUAGAAGGAAAUAAGGCAUCCGAGGAUUGGGUAAGAGGAAGGGCAAUAGAUUGGAGUGAAUUUUCAAAAUUUGAGAUGAAGUUUUAGGGAAUGGGUAAGAAACCCUAAAAUGAAGAAAAUAAAGAGAGAAAGAAACAUGUUUCUAGCAAAGUGGGUGUUAGAGUGAAUGAGUUUUGUAAGAUUGAGGGAUAAGUGGUUCUAUUUAUAUUUGUGGAAAUUUCCACACUUAACUUCUCAACAUUACAUACAUACACAAGGACAAAGAAGCAGGUGAUGAUCCAGAUAUAAAAGAGAUCUUGAAUGCUUGUUGUGUACAAGGCUAAUUAAUCAAGACAGUCUAUAUAUUAUGUGUAUAUACAGAUUACAGACACAUUAUCUAAGUGUAUCAUUGUAUAUGUGUAUCAUAAUUAAACAGAAAGAAAAUCAAGAUGCAUCCCUUGUUCUAUUA